ACAGAGAGGGGCCCCCAUAGCGCAGUGGCGGGCUGAAGGGCUCCUUGAGCAUGGCCAGAGUGGACGCCAAGGCUGAGGAGGCGCCGAGAGCCAGUGAGGGCUGCUAGCAUGUUGUCACCUCUCAAUACAUAAAACUACUGGAGGGUGGUUCCAAGAUGGCCAAAUAGGAACAGCUCCAGUCUACAGCUCCCAGCAUGAGUGAUGCAGAAGACGAAUGAUUUCUGCAUUUCCAACUCAGUAGAGAGCUGACUUUAGAGGGAUCAAGAAUAGCUUGCUGGAUGGAAGGAGGGGAAGAACCUAGAGCACCUUGUGAAACUGACAUUGAGGAAAUGGCAUGGUAAAACAGUAAAAAAAAAUUUCUUGUUACAUGGAGUGAGCUGCUUCAUCAAGCUUCUGUUGAAGGCAAUCCUACUGGAACUUUUAGUCAAAUGGAAUUUUUUAAAAAUCUCAUUUUAAGGUUUCCUGGCACUUGUAACUGAAAGAUCCUAACUGACACAGCAGGAAAGCGGAAGGGUGGCAACUGUUCAGUUAGGGCAUAGUUCUCAAGAUUGUCCUUUAGGAACAUGUAUCUUUGUGGGAUCUCAUCUAUCUCAUACAAGGAUUGCAUUGAUGCAUGUAGUGUUCAGUAGCAUGACUGACCAGAGUGGAAGUUCCUGGAAAUUGUAGCUAUCAUCAUGAUGAUGAUGGUGAUUAUGAUUGUUAAAGACUGGGUUAGGAAAUGAUUUUGUAAAUACAAUGAGAAGAAGAGCUUUAAAAUUUGCCUAAAUUUCCCCACUUAAUAUUAAAAAGGAGGUGUGCUAUUAAAUUUUAGGUUUUUCUCAAACUCUCACAGCUAUUUUUGUGGGUUUUUAGUGUAUUUCGAGCCCCCUUUUCCUUCAUCUCUAUUACUUUAUGAUAAUGUGAAGGCUCAUUGUUAUGUGAACGCACUGUUAUGAAACAAUACUCUCAGACAUAAGCAGCUUUCCUUAAACCAAAUCAAAAAUACUAUUUCUAUUGCCCAUGAUUUUCAGAGGACUUCAGAGGACCCUGAAGCAUGGGGUGCUGUGAAUGCCACUAACUAACUUCAUUAAUCACACUUAUAAUGUAAAGGGAGAAUUUUCUACUUUCUAUAAAUAAUCUAAAAUUUAAAAGUUUGUCAACUAAAACAUUUGUAAAAUUUGUAUUGAUAAAGUCCUACAAAUAAUAU
Molecule: long non-coding RNA, 1186 nt
Organism: Homo sapiens (human)
Lineage: Eukaryota; Metazoa; Chordata; Mammalia; Primates; Hominidae
Source: Ensembl